This 586-nucleotide ribosomal RNA is filed under the name Tranzscheliella sp. RNAcentral's name for it is "LSU rRNA". It matches the Rfam family "Eukaryotic large subunit ribosomal RNA", at positions 75 to 642 of the family's 3401-position model. Lineage: Eukaryota; Fungi; Basidiomycota; Ustilaginomycetes; Ustilaginales; Ustilaginaceae. The record is from RNAcentral.
UUCCCCUAGUAACGGCGAGUGAAGAGGGAAAAGCCCAAGAUUGAAAGCUGGCGCCUUCGGCGUCCGCAUUGUAAUCUCAAGAAGUGUUUUCCGCUUCGGACCAAGCCUAAGUUUCCUGGAAAGGAGCAUCGUAGAGGGUGAAAAUCCCGUACAUGGUUUGGAGCGCCCGAAGCUUUGUGAUACAUUUUCUAAGAGUCGAGUUGUUUGGGAAUGCAGCUCAAAAUGGGUGGUAAAUGCCAUCUAAGGCUAAAUAUUGGGGAGAGACCGAUAGCGAACAAGUACAGUGAUGGAAAGAUGAAAAGAACUUUGAAAAGAGAGUUAAACAGUACGUGAAAUUGCCAAAAGGGAAGGGUAGGAGGUCAGAGAUGCGACUUGGGAUUCAGCCUUGCUUUUGCUUGGUGUAUUUCCCAAGUCGCAGGCCAACGUCGGUUUUGGGCACUGGAGAAGGGUAAGAGGAAUGUGGCACUCUUCGGAGUGUGUUAUAGCCUCUUACUGGAUGCAGCGACUGAGACCGAGGAAUGCAGCGUACUCGUAAGAGCGGGCCUUCGGGCACCUUUACGCUUAGGGCGUUGGCAUAAUGGCCUUC